GCGGAACUGUGGGAGGCAGUGGAGUCGGCUGCCGCCGGGCUCCUGACCACAAGGGGGCGCAUCUCCUCCACUGUCUCCCGCAGCCUGAGAACUGCGCUGCUAUUGUGGACGGAGGAGCAGUCACUGACACGGAAGCUGCCUCCUGUAGGGAGAGAUGGCACUGGCUGCAGCUAGGGGGAGCUCCAGAGCACAGCUCCUCUUCUAGCCAGCCGAGGGAAGCUCUCUGCUCCGUCAGCCUGAUGAUGAAAGCCAAAGACAGAUGAAUCCCACCCUGCCCGUUUUUGUGCGCCCUACCAACCCGCCGUUUUCUGCCUGCCGUACCCCGCCACGCCGCCAGACCCAGCCGUGCGCCGCCGGACCCGCACCUGGCUACCACUGCUUGUAAGGCAAAGAAUGAAUGGUUACUGAAUAGCAAGAGUCCAACAACACAAGACUUUGUGGAUCAGAAGCUACAGCUGGAAAGCUCAAUGCAGCCCAUAUUCACAAAGCUGAACACACCACGGAAGAGGAAUAGAAUAUAAAAUACUCAGGGGCAGAUGUAUUAAACCUGGAGA
Molecule: long non-coding RNA, 554 nt
Organism: Pseudophryne corroboree (corroboree frog)
Lineage: Eukaryota; Metazoa; Chordata; Amphibia; Anura; Myobatrachidae
Exons: 3
Source: RefSeq, a predicted model, not a curated record